This 584-nucleotide ribosomal RNA is filed under the name uncultured marine eukaryote. RNAcentral describes it as "SSU rRNA". It matches the Rfam family "Eukaryotic small subunit ribosomal RNA", at positions 613 to 1201 of the family's 1831-position model. The record is from RNAcentral.
UUGCGGUUAAAAAGCUCGUAGUUGGAUUUCUGUCGAGAAGCGCCGGUCCACACUUUGUGUGAGUAUCUGGUUGCGUCUUGGCAUCCUCUUGGGGAACGUUUCUGCGCUUGAUUGCGUGGAGCGGUAUUCAAGACUUUUACUUUGAGGAAGUUAGAGUGUUCACGGCAGGCAAACGCCUUGAAUACAUUAGCAUGGAAUAAUAAUAUAGGACUUUAGCCCUAUUUUGUUGGUUUCUAGAGCUAGAGUAAUGAUUAAUAGGGAUAAUUGGGGGCAUUCGUAUUAACGCGUCAGAGGUGGAAUUCUUGGAUUGCGUUACGACGAACUACUGCGAAAGCAUUUGCCAAGGAUGUUUUCAUUGAUCAAGAACGAAAGUUAGGGGAUCGAAGACGCUUAGAUACCGUCGUAGUCUUAACCAUAAACUAUGCCAACUAGAGAUUGGAGGUCGUUCUUUUUAUGACUCCUUCAGCACCUUAUGAGAAAUCAAAGUUUUUGGGUUCCGGGGGGAGUAUGGUCGCAAGGCUGAAACUUAAAGGAAUUGACGGAAGGGCACCACCAGGAGUGGAGCCUGCGGCUUAAUUUGACUC